Non-coding RNA from Blastocladiella britannica, 72 nucleotides. The record is from the annotation of a GenBank genome assembly. NCBI's taxonomy places the organism in Eukaryota, Fungi, Blastocladiomycota, Blastocladiomycetes, Blastocladiales, Blastocladiaceae.
GUCACUUUCGUAUAGUGGUUAGUACGCCACGUUGUGGCCGUGGCAGCCCCAGUUCGAUUCUGGGAAGUGACA